RNAcentral lists this ribosomal RNA (460 nucleotides) under uncultured bacterium. Its description in RNAcentral is "partial 16S ribosomal RNA". It matches the Rfam family "Bacterial small subunit ribosomal RNA", at positions 338 to 795 of the family's 1533-position model. The record is from RNAcentral.
CCUACGGGCGGCAGCAGUGAGGAAUAUUGGUCAAUGGACGAGAGUCUGAACCAGCCAAUUAGCGUGAAGGAUGACUGCCCUAUGGGUUGUAAACUUCUUUUAUAUGGGAAUAAAAUGUUCCACGUGUGGGAUUUUGUAUGUACCAUAUGAAUAAAGUACGCCUAACUCCGUGCCAGCAGCGCCGGUAAUACGGAGGAUCCAAUCGUUAUCCGGAUUUAUUGGGUUGAAAGGGAGCGUAGGUGGAUUGUUAAGUCAGUUGUGAAGGUUUGCGGCUCAACCGUAAAAUUGCAGUUGAAACUGGCAGUCUUGAGUACAGUAGAGGUGGGCGGAAUUCGUGGUGUAGCGGUGAAAUGCUUAGAUAUCACGAAGAACUCCGAUUGCGAAGGCAGUUCACUGGACUGCAACUGACACUGAGGCUCGAAAGUGUGGGUAUCAAACAGGAUUAGAUACCCGGGUAGUC